RNAcentral lists this ribosomal RNA (361 nucleotides) under uncultured bacterium. RNAcentral describes it as "bacterial SSU rRNA". It matches the Rfam family "Bacterial small subunit ribosomal RNA", at positions 29 to 416 of the family's 1533-position model. The record is from RNAcentral.
AACGAACGCUGGCGGCAGGCUUAACACAUGCAAGUCGAACGGGCACCUUCGGGUGUCAGUGGCAGACGGGUGAGUAACGCGUGGGAACGUACCCUUCGGUUCGGAAUAACCCAGGGAAACUUGGGCUAACACCGGAUACGUCCGCAAGGAGAAAGAUUUAUCGCCGAAGGAUCGGCCCGCGUCGGAUUAGCUAGUUGGUGGGGUAAUGGCCCACCAAGGCGACGAUCCGUAGCUGGUCUGAGAGGAUGANCAGCCACACUGGACUGAGACACGGCCCAGACUCCUACGGGAGGCAGCAGUGGGGAAUCUUGCGCAAUGGGCGAAAGCCUGACGCAGCGACGCCGCGUGCGGGAAGAAGGCC